Molecule: long non-coding RNA, 427 nt
Organism: Oncorhynchus tshawytscha (Chinook salmon)
Lineage: Eukaryota; Metazoa; Chordata; Actinopteri; Salmoniformes; Salmonidae
Source: Ensembl
UAGGAAUUGAGAAGCACCCCUUGACAACAAAAAAAUGGCUUGUGACAGGCGUUGCAUGCGCAAUGAACGGUUUGCGGUUGAUUCCAGUACAGUAUAAAAUUAGUCCGCAUCAUUCCCUGACAUCUUCCUUCAAUAGAGGGCUGAAAUCUCAGUUCCCUGCUAUCAUCAGAUUUGGACGGAGGAGCCUCUAUCUGAGCCAGGCUACUGUGGAAAGAGGAUUGUUGACCCUCCCUACCCACCCUGCUCAUUCCCUGAGGACCCACCGUGUUGCUGGUUGGGUGUCGCUCCCCGCUCUGCCUGGUGGUGGCCCUCGGGAGCUUUGAGCGCAUAGAGAGUGCAAUAGUGCAGCAGCCAUGACGAACGCAGUGAUGGGCGGUAGCUCGGACCGCUGGGUGCCCAACGAUAGGCAGAUGAGCAUGCAUGCCAA